This 441-nucleotide ribosomal RNA is filed under the name uncultured Actinomycetes bacterium. RNAcentral's name for it is "bacterial SSU rRNA". It matches the Rfam family "Bacterial small subunit ribosomal RNA", at positions 338 to 795 of the family's 1533-position model. The record is from RNAcentral. Lineage: Bacteria; Bacillati; Actinomycetota; Actinomycetes.
CCUACGGGUGGCUGCAGUGAGGAAUCUUGCGCAAUGGACGAAAGUCUGACGCAGCGACGCCGCGUGCGGGAUGAAGGCCUUCGGGUUGUAAACCGCUUUCAGCAGGGACGAAAUUGACGGUACCUGCAGAAGAAGCCCCGGCCAACUACGUGCCAGCAGCCGCGGUAAUACGUAGGGGGCAAGCGUUGUCCGGAUUUAUUGGGCGUAAAGAGCUCGUAGGUGGUUCGGUAAGUCGGAUGUGAAAUCUCCAGGCUCAACCUGGAGGGGUCAUUCGAUACUGCCGUGACUAGAGGUCGGUAGGGGAGUGUGGAAUUCCUGGUGGAGCGGUGAAAUGCGCAGAUAUCAGGAGGAACACCCGUAGCGAAGGCGGCACUCUGGGCCGAUACUGACACUGAGGAGCGAAAGCGUGGGGAGCGAACAGGAUUAGAUACCCGAGUAGUC